CAAUUCAUAGUAACAAGUGCCUCGCCAAUGCUUAUGAUUUUUCAUUGAACUUAAUGAUUCUUGCUUGUAUCUCUAUUAUGCAAUUCAUGUAGGGAACUUGUAGGGAAUGCUUUGGGUUGUCGUAUGCAAUUCAUCCAAUUCAAUAACUUAAGGGAAAUCUGAGGGUUAAUUAGUGCAAUUCACGGUUAAUCUGGGGUGUUGGGAAUUCAUGGUUUAUCGAAAAGCAAUUGGAAAUCGUUUUGUAUGCAAGUGUGACAUGUGUGGAGAAGAACCCCUUAGCUAGCUUUCCAUCCAUUCACUUUUAUCAAUUUCGUUUUAGAAUCUGUUCAAUUUACGAAGUUUUGUUUUUGUUUCCAAUUUUGGUCAAAACUCAAUCCCCAUUUAUUUUGAAGUGUUAGUUUAGUUAGAAAUCAAUUUAGUUUGUGUUUUUAAGGGUCUUGAGUCAAGUUAUAACCCAAUUUUGUCCAAUUUAGUGUUAAGUGUUCAAAACUGCCCAUAAAGUGUUUUUGAGGCAGUUUUGAGUGUUUAUUUGCUGUUUUGAGUCUUUUGGUUUGUUUUGGUGUUUUAUAGUUUAGUUUUGUAUUCUUUGAGUUUAGUUUAGUGUUUUAAACUUUGUUUUUACGUUUUGAGUCAGUUUUCAAGUGAUUUGGCAAUCCCUCCUAAUCCCCGACCUAGAACGAUCCCUACUUACAUUCUUUACUACAAUUGAUAAAAAGAGGGUUUAAUUUGUGUGCUUAUAUAUUUCGCAUCACCCAUUUAUUCCUACCCAAAACCAAAACCCAUUAGGUCCUAACCUUAUUUAACCUAAACCUAUACCCUAAUCCGGAUCCAAACCCAAGACCCAUUUCCAAUUCUUGAAAUUCUGUAAUUGGGUAGUUUAAUAAAUUGUACAUUUUUGUGCUUAGGUGAAGUUGCUAGUAGGGAUUUCCUUAAUCCUUUUUCGCACAAUUCUGCUGCUACAGAGUAUCUUUGAGUGGACCCUUUCUAAAAUUUGCAUAAUUUCAUAGUUUAAUUGCAUAAAUGAAAUGCAUGCCUUACGAGUUUAUGAACUGAUUUUUAUGUUAAGCAUGUUUAUGAAAUAUGUUGUUUAUCGUCUUGUUUUUGGUAAGGAAUUAAUUGUUGGCCUAUAUUGAGCUAUAUUUUAAUAUAUCGUAUUUUCUAUAAAAACCAUGAACUGGUAGACUAUCCGAUGGACGACGAUAGGAUGCUAGAACAUGUUUUAGAAACCCCUCUUUAUAGUAUAGACGAUAGAUG
Molecule: long non-coding RNA, 1254 nt
Filed under: Malus domestica (apple)
Lineage: Eukaryota; Viridiplantae; Streptophyta; Magnoliopsida; Rosales; Rosaceae
Description: long non-coding RNA (MDOM_LNC007434)
Source: RNAcentral